CUUAGACAUGGGGAAUCUUCCACAAUGGGGGAAAGCCUGACCGAGCAACGCCGCGUGAGUGAUGAAGGUUUUCGGCUCGUAAAACUCUGUUGUUAAAGAAAAAAAGACCUGACAGUAACUGUUCGGCACCGGACGGUAUUUAACCAGAAAGCCACGGCUAACUACGUG
Molecule: ribosomal RNA, 168 nt
Filed under: uncultured Lactobacillus sp.
Lineage: Bacteria; Bacillati; Bacillota; Bacilli; Lactobacillales; Lactobacillaceae
Description: partial 16S ribosomal RNA
Rfam family: Bacterial small subunit ribosomal RNA
Source: RNAcentral